Non-coding RNA from Triticum aestivum (bread wheat), 126 nucleotides. The record is from Rfam. NCBI's taxonomy places the organism in Eukaryota, Viridiplantae, Streptophyta, Magnoliopsida, Poales, Poaceae.
CAUGUACUCCCUCUCGCCCUGAAAUACUUGUCGCACAAAUGGAUAAAAUUGGAUGUAUGUAGAACUAAAAUACGUCUACAUACAUCCAUUUUUAUGACAAGUAUUUCCGGACGGAGGGAGUAUGUU